AGCUCCAAUAGCGUAUAUUAAAGUUGUUGCAGUUAAAAAGCUCGUAGUUGGAUUUCUGGGGGGCGCAGAUUGUCCGCAGACGCGUGUGCAGAUGCGCCCUUUCAUCCUUCUGUUAACGUCUCUUGGCAUUCAUUUGCUGGUGGCGGGCUCAGAUAUUUUACCUUGAGAAAAUUAGAGUGUUUCAGGCAGGCUCGCGUCGGAAUACAUUAGCAUGGAAUAAUAGAAUAGGACUCAGUCCUCCUUUGUUGGUUUGAGGGGUCAGAGUAAUGGUUAAUAGGGAUAGUUGGGGGCAUUAGUAUUUGACUGUCAGAGGUGAAAUUCUCGGAUUUGUUAAAGACUAACUUAUGCGAAAGCAUUUGCCAAGGAUGUUUUCAUUA
This 377-nucleotide ribosomal RNA is filed under the name Lynnella sp. RNAcentral describes it as "partial small subunit ribosomal RNA". It matches the Rfam family "Eukaryotic small subunit ribosomal RNA", at positions 587 to 975 of the family's 1831-position model. The record is from RNAcentral. Lineage: Eukaryota; Ciliophora; Spirotrichea; Choreotrichida; Lynnellidae.